CCCUUCAGACGUCCCAGAUCUCAGAGAACUCACAGAACUCCGGGCUCACUCAGAACUUUGCUCCUCACAAAGGCUGUGCUAAAAAGAGGAAAAACGAAAGUGGUGCUCAGAACUCUACUGAAUGGGAACAAGGGCUCUGUUUGGGAAAAGAGUUCAUCUCAUCCUCCAUGCAUGUAUUUUUUAUACGCAGUGCUGCAUUUCAACUUAUACCUUUCUCUGAAGAGCCCUACUGUUGGUCCCUACACAGGCUCCAGCCCCUGGGCAGAGGAACAGGAUGGUGGCAGAGCAAUGGCCUGGGAGGUUUAAUUUUUUUUUCUCCUGGAUGCUGAAUGCAGCGGCCCUUUUGUGAACAGCCAUUGUUUACAUUCUCCCUAACAAAAGUUGGGAUUUCCUCUGAUGCCAGCAGCCUCGUCACCGAUCUGUACAGCCAGCCAGAUGCUCAGAAAAGAUUUUUAAUAGUGGCUGAAUCAAUGUGAGCAUGCUCAGUGCUUGCAGCAGCAGCCUCCUGAAAGCCAAAGGCACUGGGACAGGAGGAGACUCCUCGUCACUGCUGAGCAAUCUUGCGUACAGAGGCCAAGCAGCCAGCACAGCUCCCUGCAGACCUCGGGCCAGGGGCUGUUUGCACGUCUUCAAAGCGUCUGCUGACAUCCCUCUGCUCAGAGGAGCCCCUAGUGUAUGGGGUGAGAUCUUUUCCAUGGGGAUUGCAGACACCAGGUUCCCAACAUUUGGAUUUUGACCAUAAAAUCGGAAGGUUUCUCAAAACCUGUUGCUGAAGUGCCUAGGGAGCCAUCUGCCUCCUUAACAGUUUUCUUUAAGAAUUUCUUCCCAUCUCAGAAGACCAAAUCUGACAGCACUGCGCCCUGCUUUGCCAUUGGAGAUACUGUGGAGUCUCCUUCUCUGCAGAUAUUCAAAACCCACCUGAACGCUUUGCUGUGUGACCUACUGCAGGGAACCUGCUUUAGCAGGGGAGCUGGAGCAGGUGAUCCCCAGAGGUCCCUUCCAACCCCUACAGUUCUGUGAUUCUGUGCCACCGGCUGUGCAACGGCGAUGCAAUUUGGAGCUAUCUGCAUCCAUCCCAGGGGACAAAGUGAAGAUUUUUCUCUCCCUCUCUCCAUUAUGUGCUCUGAGGAACACAGUGACAACGACACAAACUUGAUGCAACAUUGAUGAAAACUCUCCUGGCAUCAUUAAAAAAAAUAAAUGAACGUCACCAUAGACCGCAAAGGUUUCUGAAAUGAAAGUUUCUCUUUGCAGCGCAUCGCUUCCCUCUUGCACCUAAAACUGUCCAGUAGCAAUUCAACUUAAAAUCAUUAAAAACAUCAAAGCUCCUGAAUCAUUUCCAAUGGAAAUAGGUGGACAACAACCCGAUGGUAAAGCUGCAUGCAGUCACCAUAGCGACGGGGCUUCUGAAAGGAUGCAGAGAGCAUCGCCAACGUCCACAGCGUGUGGAGGAGCACAAGCGGCCGAAAUGGGGGCUGGGGCAGGCAAGGAUUUGAUGAUUAAGGAUUUGGAGCAUCUCCCAUACGAGAAAAGGCUGAGAGACCUGGGACUGCUCAGUCUGGAGAAGAGAAGGCCGAGAGAGGAUCUCAUCACUGUUUAUAAAUAUUUGAAGCGCGGGAGCCAAGUCAAUGGGAGCAGACUCAUUUCAGUGGUGUGCAGCAGUAGAACAAGGGGAGAAACUGCAAUACAAGAAGUUCCUCUGUAGCACAAGAAGGAACUUUUUCAGUCACUGAAGGAGCACUGGAAAAGGCUGCCCAAAAAGGCCGUGGAGUCUCCUUCUCUGGAGAUAUCCAGGACCCAUCUGGACACCGAGCUUUGUGACCUGCUGUAGUACCUGCUUUAGCAGGAGGGUCAGUCUCAGUGUUAUUUCUAGAGAUCCCUUCCAAAACCUGCAAUUCUGAGAUUCUGUGACCACUUUGCUGCACUCUCCACCAAAAGACGAACUGGGGGGGACCUGGGGACUGCAGAUCCCCACGGGGGACCCUCUAGAGAUGUCUGCUGCAUGUUGUCCAGGCUGCAUGUUGUCCAGGCUGGGGGAGAGACCUCAUCACCAAAAUGGAUCUUUGCCAUUUUGAAUUUCAACUUGAGUGAGCCCAGAAGAACAUUAAAAAAUAUAUUUAAAAAUGAGCAGAAGCCAGGAUGAACCAGUUUGACACCACAGCCCCCCCCUUCCUCCCCCUUAAACACUCUGGAGGCGUUCAAGGCCAGGUUGGAUGGUGCUCUGGGCAGCCUGACCUGGUGAGUGGAAGCCCCAUGGCAGGGGGUUGAAAGUGGGUGGGAUUUGAGGUCCCUUCUAACGCAAAGCAUUCUGUGAUUCUAUGAUUAAAAAUAAAGGGCUUUGGACUCCUCUGGAUCUAUCACAGGACACAGCUCCAAGAGGACUUCAUCUCAUUCCAAAAGAAGAGACCACAGAGAAGUAUUGCUUUGCUACUCAGCGAAGAGCAAAUACUACUGAUAAAUAAUGUUGAUGAAGUCAGAGUGCUUAAUACUUUUUCUAUUAUUGAUCUUCAGUGGAAAUAUCGCUGCCAAGCAGGCAGUUAACAGAGAAAGUGAGAUGUAAGCCCAGAGUAAAAAAUUGGCUUGAGGGCACCUGGAUGAGCAAAACGUUCUUAGAUUCACUGUGUGGAUGUGGAGUCUUCAGUACAGGAAAUACAUGGACCUAUUGGAGCACAUCUAGAAGAGAGCCACAGAAAUGAUUCUGGGGGUGAAAAAAACAGCCUUGAGGACAAGCUGAGGAAGAGAAGGCUCUGGGGAGACCUGAGAGUGGCCUUUCAGUAUCUAAAGGGGGGCUGCGAAAAAUAAGGGGACAGACACUUUAGCAGAGUCUGUUGGGAAAGGAUGGGGGGAAAUGGUUUUGAACUAAAAGAAGGGAGAUUUAGACUGGAUAUGAGGAAAAAGGUUUUUAUGAUAAGGAUGGUGAGGCAGUGGCACAGGUUGCCCAGAGAGGUGGUGGAUCCCCAUCCCUGGAGACAGCCAAGGUCAAUCUGGAGGGGCUCUGAGCACCCUGAUGGAGCUGUGGGUGUCCCUGUUCAUUGCAGGGGAGUUGGACUGGAUGGCCUUUAAGGGUCUCUUCCAACUCAAGGAAUUCUAUGAUUCUACAAUUCUAUGAAUUUCAUCCAGAAACGAUGGCUAUUAUCUCAAGUUAUCUUCUGGUGGUUAAUUUGGGGAAUUUGUGGCAGAUAUGUCGGAGCACCCAAAGAUUAAAAAAGGGCAAAGGAAUUAAAAACACAUUAAACAGCAGAGAAGAGGAGACAAGAGAAUUUGCAGGCCAGUCAGCUCAACUUCAACUCUCAGAAAAAAAAAAAUCUGGAACAAAUAAUCUGCUCAUUUGUAAAUUUCUAGGAGAUAGCAACAAGAGAAGCAGGCAGCUUGGGCUUGUCAACAGUGAGCCCUGCCAACCCAACUGAACUGCCUUCCAAGAGAGAAGAGCAGGCUCUGUGGAUGAAGGAGAAGCUCCAGAUGUGGCACAGCUCAGUGGCAGCAAGGCUUCCACAUGGUCUCAAGUGAUGCUCCCCUACACCAGGCAGGGAUACUCAUUGGAUGAAACCAGGUGGCAAAACCCUGCAUUAUUUCAGUCUGUAGCAGUGGUUUACAAUCAACAUGAAAGGUUGAAGUGGGUGAGGAUCAGUCAGGACCAGCUCAGGUGCGUGACCAUGCACUGGUUUCACAUAAAUCAGCUGCUUUCUGGAAGAAAGAUGAGGUUUGUUAAAGUCACAGAUGACCCAAAGCUGUGUCAGGCUACAAGUAACACAGAUAACUGUCCCGAAAAUAAUACAAAAGAUGUUUCAUACAAUAAAAUAAGACAUUCAAAUUUCAGGUGUACUUACUAAUAACAUCUUGGAAAGACUGACUAUACAUAUAGAUGAGAUCAGUCUAAAUCCUUAUAGUUACAUAUCUCCCUAAAUCAGGAAAUUGCCUUCUACUAGAGCACUGUGGAGAGCUCGCCUCCUGAUUUGUGCUGUCUCUGCAAAAGGGGAACCAAGACAUCUUUUAUUUUACACUUUCAUUUCUUAUUUUGAAGGACUCUAUUUUGCCUCAGGUGCACUAUAACUCACAUCAGUGACAAAGAAAUGUGAAAAGACUUCACUGCAUUACCCGCAAGCCUGGAGCUUCCAUCAGCUGGGAAUUCAAAGACACUCCGAGCUUUGUGCUGGCUGUUGUGGCAAGAAAACAGGCACAGAGCAGACUAGGGCUGAUCAUCAGAAAACUCUAUUGGUCAAACACAAGUGUUCACAACUGGUCCACUAACCACACAGGCUGACCUUCAUAGAAAUCAUACCUAUUCAGAUGAUAACAUGGAAAGCACGGUUCUUGGUAUCAUGUGUUCUCCAAAAUAACACCACUAGAACCAUGUCUCUGUCUUGCACUGGGUAACUCAUGCUGGAAGACAAACUGAAUUUGAGCAAAGGUUCUCACCACAGUGUGCAAGACUGCUCAGGGACCAUGCCAGACGCCAUGUUGAGCACCCAGAGGAAGAGUCCGGUGCUGCAUUCAACACAACAAAGUUCAGAAAUGAGUUUUAGCUUUAAGGAAGAAGUGCUAAAGGAAAAUUACUGUGGAGAUAAGUAUCACCUUAUGUCCCAAAAGAGAGCUAAAACAAGGUUACUGCAGCUUGGCAAAGAAUCCAAGCAGGAGUGGAGGCCACAUUUCCCCAAGACCUUCACCUUCCACAACAUGCAUUCUUCAUUGGUAGAGUCACAGCAUCUGCUGGAAAGCUCACUGGAAUUUCAGCCUAGAAGGAGUCACUCUCACCCUCAGAGUGUCCUUAGGUGACAUUAAAUCUUAAGUGAUAUCUUCAAUGGCAUCUUUGGAAAUCACUUGGAUAGACUAAUAUAUAAUUCGAUGACCAAAUCGUUUGAAACUAUUGAUUUAUACAUUCAAUCUUAAUCAUGAUCUUGGUGUGAUCAUCUCAUUGGUCUGCUGUCAUUUAGUUCAGUAAAACUAAUGAAUUAGUUUAGCAAUACCCUUGCUCAGGUGUGCCUCCAUUCGCUGACUCUUACUAAUUAAAUCUGCAAGGAAUACGCAAAGCAGGUUUACCCUACUGAACAGAGGUCACAAACCAGAGGGUAGCAGCAGCUUUGGGUAGGUCCCACACAAGCAGAUCGGCUCUGCAUCUCCCUAGUCAAUAGCCCAUGCACCCUGCGAAUGAAGCCAUCUCCCAGCAGUGUUGGUCACUCAAAGACCACCCACUGCAUGAGUGGUAUGAAUCAUAGAAUCAUAAAACCGUUAAGGUUGGAAAAGACUUUGAAAAUCACCUAGUGCAACCAUCAACCCACCCUCACCAUGCUCACUGACCCUCAGUGCCACAUCCUCACGGUUCUGGAACAUCUCCAGGGACCUCCCUGGGCAGAUGGUUCCAGUGCAGCACCUUUCUUUCUGAAAAGAAAUUGUUCCUAAUAUCCAACCUGGCACAACUUGAGGCCAUUCCAUCUCAUCCUAUUGCUGAUACCUGGAAGAAGAGGCCAACCCCCACCUUGCCACAACCUCCUUUCAGGUUAUUGUGGAGAGAAAUAAGGUCUUCCUGAGCUCCUCUUCUCCAGCCUGAACAACCCCAGUUCCCUCAGCCGCUCCCCAUCAGAGCUGUGCUCCAGACCCCUCACAGCUCCGCUGCCCUUCUCUGGACACACUCCAGGGCCUCCAUGUCUUUCUUGCAGUGAGGGGCCCAGAACUGAACACAGCACUCGAGGUGCAGCCUCACCAGAGCUGAGUACAGAGAGAUGGUCACCUUCCUGCUCCUGCUGGCUGCACUAUUUCUGAUACAAGCCAGGAUGCCAUUGGCCUUCUUGGCCACCUGGGCACACUGCUGGCUCAUGUUUGCUGGCUGUCAGCUAGCACCCCCAGAUCCUUUUCCUCCACGCAUCUUUCCAGCCACUCUGCCCCAGGUCUGUAAUGAUGCAUGGGGAUUUUGUAACAGAAAUGCAGGAUCGAGGUCAGCUGCCCUGGACCUAUACACCUACAGCAGAGGACAUCACACCAUGUAUGAGUACAGGAUGUGGCCUUCCUGACCAUCCAGUUAGUUAAUCGUGUUUGUUACAGACACUGAUAUCUGUUAGCUUUGUGACAAGGCCAGAAUGUAUUGCCUGAACUUUGUGCUGGCUUAAAAAAUUAUAAACAAGCCAUUUUUUUAAUUCUUAUUUUUACUGGGAAAGCUGUUACAGGCCUGGUUUGUGGCCAAUUUCAGUCAGUGGCAGGCUUUAAUUGGGUUUUGUUUCCAGCAGCAGCCUCUUUUAAAAUCAGCCCUCUGCUCGUAAGCAGGACUGGGCCCUGUCAGACUUCAGUCACUCCAUCCUAGGCCAGGCUUUGGGACAGGGGAUGAUGGAUUACUGUCAGAGCAGGCAUGUGAGCGCUGGUCGCCUCAGCAUGGGCUGUUUGCUCCACAUUGGAAAGAAGGGAGAAAUACAGCCCUGGGGAGGGGGGGUUUGGUGGCUGGGCCAACUGCCAGCCUCCAUUUCCAGAUAGGGAGGAAGGGCUCAAGCCUUUUUAGGCAUUUUCUUGGACUUCCUCUCCAUCGUUUAAUUAAAACACCCAGAAAAGAGCUAUGCACCCUUCAUUCCAUGCCUCAGCCCUUGCCUUGGCCCUGUGAAUGGGGAUGGGCCCAGUGCAGGCCAUGUCCCAACAGACCUGGCACCCACCUCGGCCAAAAUAAGUCACGAAGGUUUUUCUUGCAAGGGAGUAAAUGUGCAGUGAUGACUCAGGCACAGCCACCAAGCCCCAGUCUCUUUCAUGGGGCCCACACCCUUGUGCCAAGCAUUUACUCCUUGCUUCCAUCGUGUGAGCUGGUGAAAGGCUCAUCUGGACUUUCCAACAUUUUAUGACGUCUGUACAUCUCCCACUUUGCACUUUUUCUUCCUUGGAGCUGGUUCUUGAACAGCAAAAUAUUUGCAAUUGUGUAAGUAUUGAGAAUAAAGUAACAACACCUGGAGGCAUUCAAGGCCAGGUUGGAUGGAGCCUUGGGCUACCUGAUCUGGUGCUUCAUCUGCCCACGGCAGGGGCUUGGAACCAGAUGAUCUUUGAGGUCCCUUUCAACUCAAGCCAUUCUAUGAUUCUGUGAUUUAACAUCAAACUUCAAAUCACUUUUCUGAUCACCAGGGAAAGCCCGCUACGUCCCCCCAGCGUCAUCUGUAUGUUUCUUCCGCUAUAACAGAAGUAAAACAAAGCACUUCAUGUCUGCGUGAUGAAAACAACAUUAAAAAGUUCUCUAAAAUUUUGCAGUGGGACAGUAUUUAGGGCUAUAACACCAUCAGAGUCUGAUCUCCAUGGCCCCUUGUACAAGGCAGUUGGAGGAUGCUAACAACUUGGCCUCAUGACAGCAUAAAGUCCAAGGCCACCUAACGUCAGCAUCACUUGAUAGAAGAGAAUGAGAGAACAAAAACCUCAUGGAUUUUGCAACGUGAAGAUUCAUGAUGGACCUUCUGGGAAGAGAAGUGAUAAAGCCAAAUGCAUUAGGAAGUACUUCAGGAUAAAUCAGCUGCUGCUGUAAAUGUAUUCAUUUAAAUGCAAUUUCAUUCAGAAGACAGAAGAGAGGUCACAGAGAAACAGUGGCACCGACGUUCCUGUGUAACGAUCCCAAUGUGCUUUAUGUAAGAGGGGAAGCAUCACCUCCCUGCUGAAGGGAAGAGCUGAGCUUCGGGAGUGAAAGAUGGUGAUUUGCCAACACUGGGACAGCAGGCGAGUCUCCUGGUGCUAUUCCACACUUGUGCUUUUGACGUGGAACAGAAUAUGAAAACAAUGCAUAACGAUAAAUGCAUUUCAGAGUGUGAGAUCAGCUUUAAAUCACCAGAUUUCAAGCAGUGGUGUUUCCUACACAGAGUCCACCUCUGCCCCUCUGCUAAACCCAGCAGUCUACUCUGCACUUUUUGCUCUUUCAAAGGGACACUGUAUGGCAUGUUUGUUAGGACGAUAAUGCUGCAUUUGCUAAUGAAAUUAAGUGUUUUGGAGAAGUUCUUUUAAGCAAAACCAUGUGUUCCGGGGAGGAAACAUUCUUCUGGUAAACAGCUGAGCCCUUAACAUUUAGCAACAUAACUCUGUUUGCAGCUAUUGAAAGCUGUGUGACUAAGGAAGCCUGCAUUUCUGGGGCCGAGGACUGCAAGCAUUUUGCUUGUUGUCAGCCAGCCAGGCGUUUCUUUUAUGUAUAAGCUAGCUGCAAGAACCAGCUAUUGACUGGUUGCUUCUUAUGGUUUUAAUAAAAUUUGUCUCGUAUCAAAAUGUUGCUGGGUUUCAACAUUGACACCGUGCUGAGCAGCGCUCUCUGCUCAGGCACAGCUGGGUCCUGCUUUCCAGAAUUAUCACUGUGCCCUGGCAUUGCUUGCAAAGAUUGAAG
This 8320-nucleotide long non-coding RNA is filed under the name Gallus gallus (chicken). Its description in RNAcentral is "lncRNA (ENSGALG00010014212.1)". The record is from RNAcentral. Lineage: Eukaryota; Metazoa; Chordata; Aves; Galliformes; Phasianidae.